UCUUGGUCAUUUAGAGGAAGUAAAAGUCGUAACAAGGUUUCCGUAGGUGAACCUGCGGAAGGAUCAUUAUCAAAACAGCGGACUUCGGUCCUUGCUGCACCCUUGUCUUUUGCGUACCGUAUGUUUCCUCGGCGGGCUUGCUGUCCGGUUGGACAUUAUCAAACCUUUUUGUAGUUGCAAUCAGCGUCAGAAAAUAAUAAUAAUUACAACUUUCAACAACGGAUCUCUUGGUUCUGGCAUCGAUGAAUAACGCAGCGAAAUGCGAAAAGUACUGUGAAUUGCAGAAUUCAGUGAAUCAUCGAAUCUUUGAACGCACAUUGCGCCCCUUGGUAUUCCAUGGGGCAUGCCUGUUCGAGCGUCAUUUUGUACCCUCAAGCACUGCUUGGUGUUGGGCGCUUGUCCAGCAAAGGACUCGCCUGAAAGCGAUUAACGGCCAACGUACUGGUGGUAGAGCGCAGCACAAUUUGCGUCUUUCCCCUCUGCGUUAGCGUCCAUGAAGCCUAUUUCAACGUUUGACCUCGGAUCAGGUAGGGAUACCCGCUGAACUUAAGCAUAUCAAUAAGCGGAGGAA
This 571-nucleotide ribosomal RNA is filed under the name Phoma sp. 4 TMS-2011. Its description in RNAcentral is "eukaryotic LSU rRNA". The stretch from base 208 to 361 matches the Rfam family "5.8S ribosomal RNA". Lineage: Eukaryota; Fungi; Ascomycota; Dothideomycetes; Pleosporales; Didymellaceae. The record is from RNAcentral.